AUGAGGAUAUUGGGGUCCAAAGAGCCAAGUCAUCACUGGGGCUUUAGACUGGGGAACCUGGCCUUGGUAGAACUCUUCAGAGUUGCUGAUGUGCCUUUCCACACUCCAGGAGUGUAUGCCAUAAAAGGGUCCCAGUGAGAGUCAUCUUAAAGGUGUUCCCCAAGAGAAUCAUAGGAAUCCAAGACCCACCCACAGGUGGUCCAAGAAAAGCCCAAAGCCUGGGAGGAGGACAGUCCACAUGACCAGCCAGAUGCUGCCUUGCCUGCCUCAGAGGAACUGCCCUUACCAUGUCUAACAGGAAGAACUUCUAGGAAACCACCAAACUGCUAUAAAAAAGGGGGCCAACCACUGUGCAACCACUACAUAGAAGGUACUGCUGCCAGAUUACAAUGUUCUGGGCAAGAAAGAUAAUUUGGGUCAUAAGGUUUCUUCCUCUCUUCCCCAGGAUCUGAAGAGAGGAGGGGAGAAAAUUUAAAUUAAAUGAAGGUUGGAAUUUUGAUAUCACACUGAAUGGGGUUUUAAUUAUUUAACAAUUUCAGGAGAACUUUUAUUACCAGAAAGUACCUAGAAAGCUAUGGAACCUAUCCGAACUCGCUUCAGGGAAAUGAUUUCUGUGGUGGGAAAGAACGGUGCUGGCUGUGGCUUGCUCUCGGGGGGUUCAGCUUAGUAAGCAAACAGGCCCAAAGAGACGCACUUAGAGAACAAUCACUGCAAGUGAUUUUAUGCCUUCUUUCACACAGUUAUUUUUAGAGUACUCAACUUUAUUGUGCUUUGGGAGGUGAUGGCAAUGUACAAGUUAAGCUCAAUCUUGGACAUUGUGAUGUGCUUUUAUUGCUACAGUCUCUAAUUGAAAUAAAGUGGAAGAACAAGGAAAGCGUUUAAAGAGAGCAAGAAAAAUAGCUCACGUGGGCUUUUGGCAAAAGAGAAAAUAUCUAGAUACCAACAUAUACUUAGGACAAAUUAAAAAUACAAUUACAUAUCAAAACGUACAGUUUGUGGAAAAAAAAUUUUUUUUUUUCCGAAAGAGUCUGUAUUAGUUCAUUCUCAUACUGCUAUGAAGAAACACCUGAGACUGGCUAAUUUAUAAAGAAAAGAGAUUUAAUUGACUCACAGUUCUGCAGGGCUGAGGAGGCCUCAGGAAACUUACAAUCAUGGCAGAAGGGGAAGCAAGUAUGUCCUUCUUCACAUGAUGGCAGCAGGGAGAAGUGUGGGGCAAAGGGGGACAGAAAGCCCCUUAUAAAACCAUCAGAUCUCGUGAAAACUCACUAGAACAACAUGCAGGUAACCACCCCCAUGAUUUAAUUACCUCUCACCAGGUCCCUCCCAUGACAUGUUGGGAUUAUGGGAACUACAAUUCAAGAUGAGAUUUGGGUGGGGACACAGCCAAACUAUAUCAGAGCCCAAUGUAUUCAAUAUAUUGGAAAAAUUAUAAUGGAAUGGAAUGUGGCACGUUUUACAUUGAUCUGAGUAUUUUCAAUAUCCCAUUUAUUUGACUUAUUAGCUUUUAGGUCAGAAUCUAAAAAUAAUUUGGGGUCCUUGAUAUAGUCAUGCAACAUUUGAUAUAUUUGCUUUUUUUGAAGUUUCUGUUAAGAAAAUUUAUGAAAUUGAUUCGUUUAAGUGCGGGGGCAUAGAAAUAAAUGAUCUCCUCCAUUACCCAGAAUUGUUUAAAAUCAUUCGGUAGACUCUCAAUAUUUCUUGUAGAUUGACUUUAUUUGUUUGUUUUUGGUCAAUGCAGUAUGGCAGAAUGAAAUGGAGUUAGUUUUAGGACAAUUUUCA
This is a long non-coding RNA of Papio anubis (olive baboon), 1776 nucleotides long. The record is from Ensembl. NCBI's taxonomy places the organism in Eukaryota, Metazoa, Chordata, Mammalia, Primates, Cercopithecidae.